This 300-nucleotide ribosomal RNA is filed under the name uncultured Ktedonobacter sp. RNAcentral describes it as "partial 16S ribosomal RNA". The stretch from base 58 to 300 matches the Rfam family "Bacterial small subunit ribosomal RNA", at positions 553 to 795 of the family's 1533-position model. The record is from RNAcentral. Lineage: Bacteria; Bacillati; Chloroflexota; Ktedonobacteria; Ktedonobacterales; Ktedonobacteraceae.
UGUAUGGUGGGGGGAGAGGGGGGGGGGUUACGGAGGGUGCGGGUGGUGGCGGGGUGGACUGGGGGUGAAGGGGUCGUAUGGGGUUGAUCGCGUCGGAAGGGGAAGCGUGGGGCUUAACCCUGAGCGGGCGUUCGAUACGGGUUGACUUGAGGAAGGUAGGGGAGAAGGGAAUUCCUGGUGGAGCGGUGGAAGGCGCAGAUAGCAGGAGGAACACCAGUGGCGAAGGCGGUUCUCUGGGCCGUUCCUGACGCUGAGGAGCGAAAGCGUGGGGAGCGAACAGGAUUAGAUACCCGAGUAGUC